Molecule: ribosomal RNA, 171 nt
Filed under: uncultured rumen bacterium
Lineage: Bacteria
Description: partial 16S ribosomal RNA
Rfam family: Bacterial small subunit ribosomal RNA
Source: RNAcentral
CCUACGGGAGGCAGCAGUGGGGAAUAUUGCACAAUGGGCGCAAGCCUGAUGCAGCAACGCCGCGUGAGCGAAGAAGGUCUUCGGAUCGUAAAGCUCUGUCCUCAGGAACGAAGAAGUGACGGUACCUGAGGAGGAAGCCCCGGCUAACUACGUGCCAGCAGCCGCGGUAAU